UUUAACCUCAAAUCAGGUAGGAUUACCCGCUGAACUUAAGCAUAUCAAUAAGCGGAGGAAAAGAAACUAACAAGGAUUCCCCUAGUAACUGCGAGUGGAGCGGGAAGAGCUCAAAUUUAAAAUCUGGCGGUUCUCUGAGCUGUCCGAGUUGUAAUCUAGAGAA
This 163-nucleotide ribosomal RNA is filed under the name uncultured Hygrocybe. Its description in RNAcentral is "partial 28S ribosomal RNA". It matches the Rfam family "Eukaryotic large subunit ribosomal RNA", at positions 1 to 157 of the family's 3401-position model. Lineage: Eukaryota; Fungi; Basidiomycota; Agaricomycetes; Agaricales; Hygrophoraceae. The record is from RNAcentral.